RNAcentral lists this ribosomal RNA (276 nucleotides) under uncultured bacterium. RNAcentral's name for it is "partial 16S ribosomal RNA". It matches the Rfam family "Bacterial small subunit ribosomal RNA", at positions 85 to 354 of the family's 1533-position model. The record is from RNAcentral.
CGCCGGCCGACCGGCGGCACGGUGGAGGUAACACGUAUGCAACCUGGCCGUGACAGAUGGAUAACCGGGAGAAAUCCCGCCUAAUACAACAUAAUGCCGGGAGGGGGACAUCCCCUGCCGGCCAAAGGGGGCGACCCCGGUCACGGAUGGGCAUGCGGCGCAUUAGGUAGUUGGUGGGGCAACGGCCCACCAAGCCGACGAUGCGUAGGGGUUCUGAGAGGAAGGUCCCCCACAUUGGAACUGAGACACGGUCCAAACUCCUACGGAAGGCAGCAG